Long non-coding RNA from Corapipo altera (White-ruffed manakin), 1531 nucleotides. RefSeq lists it as uncharacterized. The record is from RefSeq and is a predicted model, not a curated record. Lineage: Eukaryota; Metazoa; Chordata; Aves; Passeriformes; Pipridae. The transcript is spliced from 3 exons.
CUCCACUGAAAUAUUCCUGCUCUCCCAAAUAAUGAUCAUCAUUGCAAUAGUCUUGCACUUCAUGUUCUUCACGGCAAAUAGUAGGUCGACGCCCAUCACCAGUGUCAGAUCUGAGAAACCUAGAUUCCCAUACAUGAACAUGCACCAACUUCCUCAGAAAGGGACGUGUCUGCUUUGUUUUUGAGAACACUUUGGUGGAAUUCUCUCCUGUUCUCCCAAGAGCACCGGUUUGCAACAGGCGUCACUCAGACAGGAUGGAGUGCCAUGCAACAGCUUGCAAGCAUAACUCAAGCUUGAGAAAGAUGAGAUGAACCAGUCCAACGGUUAUUUAGCAAACCAGUGACACACAGAGCGCUGAACAACAUAAUUACACGACAAACCCAGACAUGCCUUUAAUUAGGCUUUCCCAUAAAGGCACAAGAUGACUUCAAAUGAAGAUGGUAAUUCUGUGCAGCUGUGCUUCAGGAGGCACAACAGCACCUGCAGUGUCAUCAAGAUGGCACAAGGCACUGAGACACCAGUGCUGGGUCCUAAACAGCAUCUCAAGAGACAAUGAAUGAUGCCCCUGUCUCCAACACACCAUUGAGAUGACACGUAUGUGCUUUCAAAUGCUGCAAAAACAGAACUGCAGGAGUCCCUUGGGGAGAAAAAAUGUCAUAUGGCCAAUAACUGUAUCCCUGUAUUGGUUGUUUAGAGAGAGAGACUCUCUAAGAGGCUUAAAAAGCACCUCACACCAAAACAUCAGAACAUUUUAAAGUUAAACAUUUAAAUAUUUUGAAAAGACUGUUUAUAAAAAAUGCCAAAUACAUUUUAAAUCAAUUUUUCCAUGUCUAUAGUAUGCAUAAAACAGUUACACCAUUUUAGAUAUAUGUCUUGUAUUAAGAAAUCUGUGUAUAAUUCAAGAUGCCAGAGUCAUGACUUCUAGAAAAAUGUUUAAAUGCUUAUAAAUACUGGAACUACAAAAAGAUUGUUUUCCCUGUACCUAAACUCAGUCUACAAGCAUUGUGAGGUAUGGUCCAACCUACAUAUAGAUGCAGUUUAAGCUUAGAUUAAGAGCUGCAAGCACAAUACCCUUAUUUAAAUAGUAAGAAUCAUUAUCAUCUAAACUAUUUCCAGUCACAUAAAAUACACAAUGGUCCCUCUUUUGAGGCAUCUUAGAAUGAUAUCAGGAAAUGGAAAACACUGGUAAGCUUUGCUUCACAGCCUUUAGAACAAUGAUGUAUACUUAUGUAUAUUGCUGCAUAAACUCAAUAGAUCUGGAACAAGCAUAAAUAUUUAUUCUAAAUCCUUAGGUCUUCAGAGUUUCAGAGUCCUGAAAGCCUAUGACUCUAAAAAUGUUCAAAUAAACCAUUACAUUUGUAGAUAAUGAACACGUUUUUACUAUCUGCUUAUUUUAUAGCAGAGAAAACUAAAAAGAACAUAAAAUCUCAAAGCUACUCUGACAACACAAAAAUAAACUGAGGUUAGUACAAACAGAAUACAACACAAGAACUACUGAAAUAAGGAAAUAGGCGUGCAGAGAAAUAGCUGG